This 205-nucleotide unclassified non-coding RNA is filed under the name Hevea brasiliensis (rubber tree). The record is from RNAcentral. Lineage: Eukaryota; Viridiplantae; Streptophyta; Magnoliopsida; Malpighiales; Euphorbiaceae.
UCUCUCAAUUCUACGUAUAUAUCUGAGAGGCUAUAGCUUAGCUCUGCUACAUGGACAAGACCCAAGGAGGGAAGGAGAAAUCAGAAUUUUUAUAUUAUUUCGAUUCUGGAAUGGAAAUGGUUAAACUAACUCAUAGAUGUCUUUCUCCCGUGGCUUUCAUUGGUUGACACAAGGAAUCUUAUUCUCAUCACCCCAUGAGAGGUUG